CAGUUCUCUCCGUGAAUUAUAUUGAUUGAAUUACUUCGACCUAGAAUGGGAAAACUCUUAUAAAUGAAAAUAUAAUAUAGAAAUUAAGAGUAAUCUCAGAAAAAUGUGUAAAACAUGAAAUAAAGUUAUAUAUUUUUAAUAUUCUCGAAUCCCAAAGUGUAUUAGAUUGUUCCUAGAAUACGUAGCAUCGAAGUGAAAAAAACCAUUUUACAAGGCACUAGCAAGUGAGAAAAAUCGCAUCACCACUACAAAUCAAUGAAUCUGAAAAAAACCAAAUUGCUCGCUAACACAAAUCAAUCUUUGUAGACACUGUAGGAAGGGACCAGUGUCUGUUUCCAUUUGCCAAAAAUGUCGGAAAAAUCAGAUCACAUAACAUUAACCCUUAAUGAGUCGUCCUCAUCGACAUCUUCAGGUACCCAGUCCGGAAGUCGCAACAAAAGUCUCAGACGGUCAUGGAAUCAAUUGCCACGAUGUCAACGAAAUCUAAUCAUUUUAAUUAUUGCGGCCAUGUGCAUAAGUUUUGUAUUUCUACUGCCAUCUGAUUUAGUAACAAAGAAUGCUGUGAACUUGGACACGAAUGGAUUACCUUUUACCGGGCAGACUGCUGUUAGGCGAAAUAAUUUAGGAGAGGGUCACAAUGACGACAGUGUUAAUAAAGUGAUUUCUUCUCAAGGCGAUUCCGCUGAUUUAGCGCACAAUUUGGCGCAGAAUAUUUUACCAGCGCCAGCACCACAAAAACAAGAACCACAACCGCAAUCAGAUAUUGAAAAUGUUGUCAAUAUUCCACAAACCCAAAGAGAACAACAACAAGAACAUUUAAAUAUCAAACCAAUAGAAACAGCACAGCUUGCCAGUAUACUUAAUAAUGAGGUAAACAAUGCAAAUAAUUUAAAUCCCAGACAUUCAAAUAAUCCUGACGAGGACCGUACGGCAAUAGAGGCUUCCAUACAAGAUCCCUCAACUUUGCCAACUUUGAAUGGUGUAACUAUUGAAGAAUUUUUGGGUCGUAUUGAUUUGAAACAUUUGCCGCAAAAGCAACAUUUUCACGGUCCUAAUAAUGAACGCCAAGAAGCCGUCGUCAAUGCAUUCCGUCACUCAUGGGAGGGUUAUAAAAAAUAUGCAUGGGGUCACGACAACUUGAAACCUAUGUCGGAGUCAUCAUACGAUUGGUUUGGCUUGGGCUUAACGAUUAUCGAUUCAUUGGAUACCAUGUACAUUAUGGGCUUGGAAGAUGAAUUUGUGGAAGCUCGUAACUGGGUCAAUGAAUUUCUGAAUUUUGAUGUUAAUCGUGAUGUAAAUUUAUUCGAAGUAACAAUUCGCAUACUGGGAGGUUUGUUAUCUGCGUAUCACUUAAGUGCUGACAAAGUUUUCCUAAAAAAAUCGAUUGAGUUAGGUAAUCGUUUGUUACCUUGCUUCCUAUCACCGUCAGGCAUACCAUACUCGGAUGUGAAUUUGGCAGCGUUAUCAGCUCAUGCCCCUAAAUGGUCACCCGAUAGUUCUACUAGUGAAGUAACAACAAUCCAAUUGGAAUUUAGAGAUUUAAGUCGUCUUACAAAUGUCACUCUCUAUGAAAGUGUUGCACAUCGAGUUAAUGAAAAGGUACAUGCUUUGGAAAAGAAUAACGGGUUGGUGCCAAUAUUCAUCAAUGCCAAUACUGGAACGUUUAGGAAUUAUGCCACCAUAUCGUUAGGGGCUAGAGGUGAUUCUUACUAUGAGUACUUGAUAAAACAGUGGAUUCAAACUGGUCACAAAGGAAAUGAUUUCUUGGUUUCCGAUUAUAUACAAGCAAUUGAUGGAGUAUUCUCACAACUACUAAAACGAACUCCAAAAGAAAAUCACGUCUACAUUGGCGAAUUAAUUAAUGGGAAAGAGUUUAAACCAAAAAUGGAUCAUUUAACAUGUUAUUUACCUGGAACAUUGCUGUUGGGUCAUCAUUAUGGCAUGCCCGAUUCCCAUCUACUACUGGCGAAAGAUCUAUUGGAAACAUGCUAUCAAACAUAUAUGAAACAACCCACACAGUUGGCUCCAGAAAUUUCCUACUUCGCUUUGACCGAAAGUGAAGAACUUGAUAUAUAUGUUAAGCCAAAUGAUGCUCAUAAUCUUCUCAGACCAGAAUUUGUUGAAAGUUUGUAUUAUUUCUAUGCACUAACUGGAAAUCGUAGCUAUCAGGAUAUGGGUUGGACUAUAUUCCAAGCAUUUGAAAAAUAUGCUAAGGUAGCUCACGGUUAUUCAUCGAUUGGAAAUGUUAAGAAUAUAUUCAAUACACGUCUACGUGAUAUGAUGGAAAGUUUUUGGCUGGGCGAAACCUUAAAGUAUUUCUAUCUGCUAUUUAGUAAUAAUCCCAAAGAAAUAGAUUUAGAAAAAUGGGUGUUUAAUACGGAGGCUCAUCCUCUGCCCGUUCGAGAAAACUAAUUUAAUAAUAUGAUAACAAACAAUACACUAAAACUAAGUAAUAACAUGUAGGAAGUAUAUCAAGUCUGAAUAUUAUUGAAAUUGUAAAUAAUGUAUUUUUUUCAAUUAAUUUUUAUCAGUACGUAUCAUCUUUUAUUUUGUCUGAAGAUGUGGUGUACUAAAUAUGUGCUGUGCAUACAAAACUAAUGUAAUGAACCAACCAUGAUCCUCAUUACAGUGAAGUUGAAUGUGUGUUUUUAAGGAGCAUUGGUUGAACCGAAUUCAAAUGAACAAAUUUACAGGUCUCAACUUAUUUUCGGCAAAAAUGUUUUUGCUGACAAAUUACAACGAUAAAGAUGGACGUCAAAUUAAACUAGAGGAAAACAGCGUUUUUUCUAAAUUGACUUACGUCAAUCGAUAGGUGGAUCUUUAUCUUGUGAGAUGUGAAAAUUUUAUUCUACCUUUAAUGAGUCAUAUGGGCGAAAUUUUCUCAUUCAAUGUCGAAAAAAUCUCGAUCGAAACAAAAUUUUGUAUGGACAUUUUAUAUAGAUGAAAAAUUAUUAUUUUUAUAGAAACUGCUGGAUCUACGUCUAACAUUCGGACUUCAGUAAUUUCUUCAAAAAAAAACUUUUCAAUAAAGCGAAUGCAAAAAUGUCACCCCAUAAUGAACAAGAAAUUUCGCCCCUACCUAACAAUGUUCGACUGUACACAUCCGUGCUCUCUAUCAAGCAUUUUAGAUGAGGCAUAAACUUCUCUAUAUAUAUAUAUAUAUAUAUAUAUA
This is an RNA transcript of Musca domestica (house fly), 3172 nucleotides long. It is a transcript of the gene named endoplasmic reticulum mannosyl-oligosaccharide 1,2-alpha-mannosidase, with no coding region annotated. The record is from RefSeq and is a predicted model, not a curated record. Lineage: Eukaryota; Metazoa; Arthropoda; Insecta; Diptera; Muscidae. The transcript has 8 exons.